GACAGAGGGUGCAAACGUUGCUCGGAAUCACUGGGCGUAAAGGGCGCGUAGGCGGGGAUGUAAGUCGGGCGUGAAAUCCCCAGGCUCAACCUGGGAACUGCACUCGAAACUGCGUCUCUUGAGUAUCGGAGAGGAAAGCGGAAUUCCUGGUGUAGAGGUGAAAUUCGUAGAUAUCAGGAGGAACACCAGUGGCGAAGGCGGCUUUCUGGACGGUAACUGACGCUGAGGCGCGAAAGCGUGGGGAGCAAACAGG
RNAcentral lists this ribosomal RNA (253 nucleotides) under uncultured bacterium. RNAcentral describes it as "partial 16S ribosomal RNA". It matches the Rfam family "Bacterial small subunit ribosomal RNA", at positions 524 to 776 of the family's 1533-position model. The record is from RNAcentral.